Molecule: non-coding RNA, 30 nt
Filed under: Rattus norvegicus (Norway rat)
Lineage: Eukaryota; Metazoa; Chordata; Mammalia; Rodentia; Muridae
Source: RNAcentral
UGUAAGAAUUUGGUGGAUCAGGUUUCUGGU